Molecule: ribosomal RNA, 497 nt
Filed under: uncultured bacterium
Lineage: Bacteria
Description: partial 16S ribosomal RNA
Rfam family: Bacterial small subunit ribosomal RNA
Source: RNAcentral
GAUGAACGCUGGCGGCGUGCCUAAUACAUGCAAGUAGAACGCUGAAGGAAGGAGCUUGCUCUUUCCGGAUGAGUUGCGAACGGGUGAGUAACGCGUAGGUAACCUGCCUGGUAGCGGGGGAUAACUAUUGGAAACGAUAGCUAAUACCGCAUAACAGUAGAUGUUGCAUGAUAUCUACUUAAAAGGUGCAAUUGCACCACUACCAGAUGGACCUGCGUUGUAUUAGCUAGUUGGUGAGGUAACGGCUCACCAAGGCGACGAUACAUAGCCGACCCGAGAGGGUGAUCGGCCACACUGGGACUGAGACACGGCCCAGACUCCUACGGGAGGCAGCAGUAGGGAAUCUUCGGCAAGGGACGGAAGUCUGACCGAGCAACGCCGCGUGAGUGAAGAAGGUUGUCGGAUCGUAAAGCUCUGUUGUAAGAGAAGAACGAGUGUGAGAGUGGAAAGUUCACACUGUGACGGUAUCUUACCAGAAAGGGACGGCUAACUACGUG